UGAGGUGAGCUGAGCUGAGCGAGC
Molecule: non-coding RNA, 24 nt
Filed under: Arabidopsis thaliana (thale cress)
Lineage: Eukaryota; Viridiplantae; Streptophyta; Magnoliopsida; Brassicales; Brassicaceae
Source: RNAcentral